RNAcentral lists this ribosomal RNA (484 nucleotides) under uncultured bacterium. Its description in RNAcentral is "partial 16S ribosomal RNA". It matches the Rfam family "Bacterial small subunit ribosomal RNA", at positions 29 to 523 of the family's 1533-position model. The record is from RNAcentral.
AGUGAACGCUGGCGGCGUGCUUAACACAUGCAAGUCGAACGAGAACGGAUUAUAGCUUGCUAUAAUUGUCAGCUAAGUGGCGCACGGGUGAGUAAUGUAUAGGUAAUAUGCCUCUUACUAAGGGAUAACAAUUGGAAACGAUUGCUAAUACCUUAUAUUCCCUUUUAUCAAAAGAUAAAAAGGGAAAGAUUUAUUGGUAAGAGAUUAGCCUGUAUUGUAUCAGUUAGUUGGUGGGGUAAUGGCCUACCAAGACGAUGACGCAUAACUGGUUUGAGAGGAUGAUCAGUCACACUGGAACUGAGACACGGUCCAGACUCCUACGGGAGGCAGCUGUGGGGAAUAUUGCACAAUGGACGAAAGUCUGAUGCAGCAACGCCGCGUGGAGGAUGACACAUUUCGGUGCGUAAACUCCUUUUAUAUAAGAAGAUAAUGACGGUAUUAUAUGAAUAAGCACCGGCUAACUCCGUGCCAGCCGCCGCCGUAA